Molecule: ribosomal RNA, 253 nt
Filed under: uncultured bacterium
Lineage: Bacteria
Description: partial 16S ribosomal RNA
Rfam family: Bacterial small subunit ribosomal RNA
Source: RNAcentral
GACGGAGGAGGCAAGCGUUAUCCGGAAUUAUUGGGCGUAAAGCGUCCGCAGGUGGCGAUUCAAGUCUGCUGUCAAAGGUCGGGGCUUAACCCCGGGAAGGCAGUGGAAACUGAAUAGCUAGAGUGCGGUAGGGGCAGAGGGAAUUCCCGGUGUAGCGGUGAAAUGCGUAGAGAUCGGGAAGAACACCAGUGGCGAAAGCGCUCUGCCGGGGCUGCACUGACACUGAGGGACGAAAGCUAGGGGGGCGAAAGGG